GUCCAGACUCCUACGGGAGGCAGCAGUGGGGAAUAUUGCACAAUGGGGGAAACCCUGAUGCAGCAACGCCGCGUGAGUGAAGAAGUAUUUCGAUAUGUAAAGCUCUAUCAGCAGGGAAGAAGAUGACGGUACCUGAUUAAGAAGCCCCGGCUAACUACGUGCCAGCAGCCGCGGUAAUACGUAGGGGGCAAGCGUUAUCCGGAUUUACUGGGUGUAAAGGGAGCGUAGACGGCAUAGCAAGUCUGAAGUGAAAGCCCAAGGCUCAACCAUGGGACUGCAUUUGGAACUGUGCUGCUAGAGUGUCGGAGAGGCAGGCGGAAUUCCUAGUGUAGCGGUGAAAUGCGUAGAUAUUAGGAGGAACACCGGUGGCGAAGGCGGCCUGCUGGACGAUGACUGACGUUGAGGCUCGAAAGCGUGGGGAGCAAACAGGAUUAGAUACCCGUGUA
RNAcentral lists this ribosomal RNA (446 nucleotides) under uncultured bacterium. Its description in RNAcentral is "bacterial SSU rRNA". It matches the Rfam family "Bacterial small subunit ribosomal RNA", at positions 329 to 792 of the family's 1533-position model. The record is from RNAcentral.